AGGGUCGUUCGAGACCAGGACGUUGAUAGGUCAGGUGUGUAAGCGCAGUAAUGCGUUCAGCUAACUGAUACUAAUUGCCCGUAAGGCUUGAUCCUAUAACA
RNAcentral lists this ribosomal RNA (101 nucleotides) under Burkholderia cepacia. Its description in RNAcentral is "partial 23S ribosomal RNA". It matches the Rfam family "Bacterial large subunit ribosomal RNA", at positions 2831 to 2925 of the family's 2925-position model. RNAcentral also lists the same sequence under 4 other names. The record is from RNAcentral. Lineage: Bacteria; Pseudomonadati; Pseudomonadota; Betaproteobacteria; Burkholderiales; Burkholderiaceae.